CGUCCGAGCUUCCAUAAUACCAUUCGGACUUCUCCGAUAAUGAGCUCCUCCAUUCAUCUACCGAGCUACUCCAAGCACUUUUCGAGCUUCACUAUCAGCCGAUUUUCUACAGUGAUCGACUAUUCUACGAAUCUCUUCCAGACUUCUUCCGACCACGGAUGACUUUACUCUGAAUUUCUUUCGGACUUCGUCAAUGUCCGAGCUUCUCCGAUAGUAGGAUUUCUACAGUAACCAGACUCCAUCCAAGU
RNAcentral lists this long non-coding RNA (248 nucleotides) under Elaeis guineensis (African oil palm). RNAcentral describes it as "long non-coding RNA (EGUI_LNC009663)". Lineage: Eukaryota; Viridiplantae; Streptophyta; Magnoliopsida; Arecales; Arecaceae. The record is from RNAcentral.